Molecule: long non-coding RNA, 366 nt
Organism: Strongylocentrotus purpuratus (purple sea urchin)
Lineage: Eukaryota; Metazoa; Echinodermata; Echinoidea; Camarodonta; Strongylocentrotidae
Exons: 2
Source: RefSeq, a predicted model, not a curated record
UCGUUCAUCAAACGUCUCCAAAUCACACCAAAAUGUCUUCCAGCAAUUAUUCUAGCGAUGAAAUUUCAUCAAUAGAUAGUGACUCCUCAUACUCCGAUGCCUCCUUAUCCCAUUUUAGUGAUUCUUCCCAAGAAAAUGAGCCCGACAAAUUUUCAAAAUAUUAAUUAGUCCCACUCGUAGAGAUACGAGUUUGUUGUCGAAUAACGGACCAUCGACGAGCGGAACUGGCCCCAGAAAACAGCUGAAAAGGAAUCAGAAAACACAACCUGCUGAAGCAACACGCAAGAAGAAGAGCAAGUCUUCCAAGUCCGAGAAUGUGUCUGCGAGGUAUGUCCUUACUAAGUAGAAAUCUAAAUCUAUUGUUGA